GGAAUAACAAUUACAAUCAUGAAAUCAUAAUUAACUCAAGAUUAAGAUUACAGUAAAAUCAACGCCUAUGAGAUUUAAUAAGUCUGACAGUUAUUACAAAGUUAAUUAAAUCUCAUAUGUGAUCCUAUUCAAUGUAGUCGUACUACAUUGAUAAAUUCAUACAUGAUUAAGAUAAAUCAUUCAAUGAAUUUAUUACAGUCUAUACCUAAAUAAAGUGCCCAACUUUAUUUAUCAACUGCGAACUAAAUUUAUUUAAUCAUAAGAUAACUUGUAUUUAUGUCUUCUGUGAAUCCACAUGGUGAUUACAUAAAUACAUAUAAUAUGAUUAAAUGGACUUUAAUACAAAUAUUAAUGCAAUUAAGAUAUUUGAAUAAAAUACCUCAUUUAUUUUAUUAAUCAGAAAAAUUAUUUAUUACAAUUAAAUAAACACAUAUGCUUUUAAAGAGCAUAUUUUUCCAACAAAUUAUGCAUACAGUUCAAGCUGAGGGAUACUGAUGUGAAGUGUAGGGACAUGGAUAUAUACUAUUGUUUACAUUACUUUACAGCCUUGAUGUAUUAUUUUAUUUGGCAAUCAUAUAGUCAUUGUCUGCACUACACUUUGUCUUCCCUACACUUGUCUCCACUUGAGUAUUCUUGAGUGGUAGCUGAGUCACAAGUCACCUUCUCAUGUCUGCUGGGCUUGUCUGUCCUGCUUGAUUUACUUUGUUCUAACACCCCCGCUCAAUCUCAGUUUUCUUAGCAAACUCUUAGGUCAUAUUUGGUUUGUAAAAAAGGGAGGAGAGGAAAAGAGUGGAAUAGAAAAGAAGAGAAAAGAAAGGAAUGGAGAAAAGCAGUGAAAUUA
RNAcentral lists this long non-coding RNA (841 nucleotides) under Citrus x clementina. RNAcentral describes it as "Citrus clementina (C. clementina) long non-coding RNA (CCLE_LNC006046)". The record is from RNAcentral. Lineage: Eukaryota; Viridiplantae; Streptophyta; Magnoliopsida; Sapindales; Rutaceae.